RNAcentral lists this ribosomal RNA (490 nucleotides) under uncultured bacterium. Its description in RNAcentral is "partial 16S ribosomal RNA". It matches the Rfam family "Bacterial small subunit ribosomal RNA", at positions 30 to 507 of the family's 1533-position model. The record is from RNAcentral.
AUUGAACGCUGGCGGCAGGCCUAACACAUGCAAGUCGAACGGUAACAGGAAGAAGCUUGCUUCUUUGCUGACGAGUGGCGGACGGGUGAGUAAUGUCUGGGAAACUGCCUGAUGGAGGGGGAUAACUACUGGAAACGGUAGCUAAUACCGCAUAACGUCGCAAGACCAAAGAGGGGGACCUUCGGGCCUCUUGCCAUCGGAUGUGCCCAGAUGGGAUUUGCUAGUAGGUGGGGUAACGGCUCACCUAGGCGACGAUCCCUAGCUGGUCUGAGAGGAUGACCAGCCACACUGGAACUGAGACACGGUCCAGACUCCUACGGGAGGCAGCAGUGGGGAAUAUUGCACAAUGGGCGCAAGCCUGAUGCAGCCAUGCCGCGUGUAUGAAGAAGGCCUUCGGGUUGUAAAGUACUUUCAGCGGGGAGGAAGGGAGUAAAGUUAAUACCUUUACUCAUUGACGUUACCCGCAGAAGAAGCACCGGCUAACUCCGUG